UAUGGAGGUAUUCUUGGUAUCA
This 22-nucleotide microRNA is filed under the name Pristionchus pacificus. RNAcentral's name for it is "ppc-miR-8282c-3p". The record is from miRBase by way of RNAcentral. Lineage: Eukaryota; Metazoa; Nematoda; Chromadorea; Rhabditida; Neodiplogasteridae.